CGCACGGGUGAGUAACACGUAUCCAACCUGCCGUCUACUCUUGGACAGCCUUCUGAAAGGAAGAUUAAUCCAGGAUGGCAUCAUGAGCCCACAUGUUCUCAUGAUUAAAGGUAUUCCGGUAGACGAUGGGGAUGCGUUCCAUUAGAUAGUAGGCGGGGUAACGGCCCACCUAGUCGACGAUGGAUAGGGGUUCUGAGAGGAAGGUCCCCCACAUUGGAACUGAGACACGGUCUAA
This 235-nucleotide ribosomal RNA is filed under the name uncultured bacterium. RNAcentral's name for it is "partial 16S ribosomal RNA". It matches the Rfam family "Bacterial small subunit ribosomal RNA", at positions 99 to 334 of the family's 1533-position model. The record is from RNAcentral.